Molecule: non-coding RNA, 204 nt
Organism: Paramuricea clavata
Lineage: Eukaryota; Metazoa; Cnidaria; Anthozoa; Malacalcyonacea; Plexauridae
Source: the annotation of a GenBank genome assembly
GUCAUAAAUUCGGCUCCUAUUUUUUUCCAUUUUGUGUCGAGCGCACGCGUAGUCGAAGAGCCUGCGGAGGAGACGACAACUUCCGGUAAAUAAGUGUACUUCCGGGAAAUUUCAAGCAUCGGCCAAAGCGAAACGGAACCCGAAGCUGUCCUUGCACAAAAUCCGUCAAAAUUGUUGAUUUAAAACCAGAAGAUGUGAUAAUUU